UCUGGGGAUAUAGCUCACUUGGUAGAGUGCUUGCCUUGCAUGCACAAGGCCAUAGGUUCAAUCCCUAGCACAAAA
This 75-nucleotide transfer RNA is filed under the name Marmota monax (woodchuck). RNAcentral describes it as "tRNA.Ala". Lineage: Eukaryota; Metazoa; Chordata; Mammalia; Rodentia; Sciuridae. The record is from RNAcentral.